RNAcentral lists this long non-coding RNA (2012 nucleotides) under Homo sapiens (human). RNAcentral's name for it is "HSALNT0096848". Lineage: Eukaryota; Metazoa; Chordata; Mammalia; Primates; Hominidae. The record is from RNAcentral.
GGUGGUGCUCCCUCACACACACAAGAGAGCAGCUCUGUCCAAUACAGAGGCCUUGUGGCUACUGAGUGCCUGAACUGUGGCCAGUCUACACUGAAAGGGGCUGUGUGUGAAAAAUACGUACUGGGUUUAGAAGACCUAGCACAGAAAAGAAUGUAAAGUAUCCAAUUACUAAUUUUUAAUAUUGAUGACAUAUCAGAAUGAUUAUAUUUUGGAUAUAGUGGGCUAAAUAAAAUAUAUCAUUAAGCUUCCUUGCACCUGUUAAAAAAAGCAACCACAAGAAAAUUAUAGUCACAUAUGUGCUUGUGGGAUUUCUGUUGAACAGCACUGCUCUGGAAUGUGAGUUCUUUGAAGGCAGAGACCAUCUCUGUACUGCUGACUGUGGUCCAAGAGCCAGAGCAGGGCCUGACAUACAAGAGUUUCUCAACACAUAAUUGUGGAUAAUUAAAUGAAUGAAUAAACGAAUGACCAAAUCCAAUCCAACUCUGAAUCUGCUCGUCUGGUCCCUGUGAACAUAGGAUUGGAUGUAAUUUUCACCUUGCCUUGUCUCUCUGGGCAGUUCUUCAAUGGCUGAGGCUUACAGAGAGAAUGCAUGCCGCACAGUGCUAGCUAAUGGAGAGGCUGGAUGUGUGGUGGAAUUUGGAGAAUAAAAAUGGCCAGAGUAUUUCCAACCACAAUGGCAGUGACCACUUACUGGAUACAAAUUCUGUGCCUGGCAUCAUUCUAGGCACAUUAUAUGGAGUGACUCAUUUUAAUUCUAACAACCUAUGACAUCAGUCCCACCAUCAACUCUAUUUGACAGACAGAGGAAAUUAAAGCUCAGACAGAUAAAAUUAUGCCCCCAGGGUUACAGAGCUGUUUUUUUUCCGAGUUCUGUCUGACAUGACACUUGCACUCUUCACCACCAUCACAGAACACAGAGAAGAGGGGACUGGGGGUCCUGCCAACACAGGGUGACACUGAACCAGGUCUGUUCAAUUCUGAGGCCCCAGCUCCUGAAAGCAGGUGGCCCCAGCCCUCCAGGAUUUGGAAGACUCAUUGUCUGUGUCUGGUACCGUGGAGCAUUUGGCCACAUAUCGUCUGUGCAUCUAGACAAGUCCUGGCAUGCAUCCAGCCAUAUCUUGCCCAUGCAUCUUCUUCACCAGAUGGCGGGACCACCCUCUGUACCUAUGAUGUGGCAAUGACUGCACAGAGUUGGAUCACUAGAGGGCAAUAUCGGCCAAGAGAAAGAAGAAUUCUUCACCACCGUUUCUAGGACUGGUGAAGGUGCUGUGCUGGAGAGAGCAUGUGGAGAGACACCACAGAGAGUGAUGUCCAAGGAUCCUCUGCUGUUCUAGCCUCCAGAUGUUUGGUACCAAAUGGAGAGUGAGUGAGGCUUCCAACCCCACCUUUGAGCCACCCCAGCUGAUCCCAGUAGAGCAGAGAUGAGCUGUCCCCACCAAGUCUUGCCCAGAUUGCAGAUCUGUGAACAAAUAAGAAUUUUUGCUUGAAGCCUCUAUGUUUUGGGGUACUUGGUCACGUAGCCCUAGGGCUAACUGAAGUAUAGUGAGAAGUGACAAGAUUCAAGGUUGUAUAGCUGCUUAGGGGAAGAACAAAGAAAGUACACUCUCCUUGCAUUCAAAGGAUAUUUCUUCAAUUUGCUUGCAGUGUGACCUUUGGCAAGCUACUGAACCUCUCUGUGCCUCAGUUUUCUCAUCUGUAUGAUAGGGAUGAAGAUGGUAUUUCUUCAGAAGGUAGUGAUGAGGAAUAAAUAUCUCAUUCUUGGCAUGUAGGAAAAAGCUAGUAAGUAGCUGGGUUGGGGUUUCAAUUCAGGCAGUCUAACCCUAGACUCUUUACUGGUAAGCUCAGGUCCAGAACAUUCCCACCAAUCCCUGAAAAGGAGGCCAGACGGCAAUAUCCCAGGUACUCCCAUUAUUUUCCCCCAUACGGCAUGAUUCUGAGUCCUCCUUGGCCGCCCUUCUCUGUUCACUGGGCCUUGAUACAUGAUUCUCUGAACUGAAGGCCGCACCAUCACU